Molecule: ribosomal RNA, 1066 nt
Filed under: Cupriavidus sp.
Lineage: Bacteria; Pseudomonadati; Pseudomonadota; Betaproteobacteria; Burkholderiales; Burkholderiaceae
Description: bacterial SSU rRNA
Source: RNAcentral
UUCGAGCUGCCUUACCAUGCAAGUCGAACGGCAGCACGGGCUUCGGCCUGGUGGCGAGUGGCGAACGGGUGAGUAAUACAUCGGAACGUGCCCUGUAGUGGGGGAUAACUAGUCGAAAGAUUAGCUAAUACCGCAUACGACCUGAGGGUGAAAGCGGGGGACCGCAAGGCCUCGCGCUACAGGAGCGGCCGAUGUCUGAUUAGCUAGUUGGUGGGGUAARAGCCUACCAAGGCGACGAUCAGUAGCUGGUCUGAGAGGACGAUCAGCCACACUGGGACUGAGACACGGCCCAGACUCCUACGGGAGGCAGCAGUGGGGAAUUUUGGACAAUGGGGGCAACCCUGAUCCAGCAAUGCCGCGUGUGUGAAGAAGGCCUUCGGGUUGUAAAGCACUUUUGUCCGGAAAGAAAUGGCCUGGGYGAAUACCCCGGGUCGAUGACGGUACCGGAAGAAUAAGCACCGGCUAACUACGUGCCAGCAGCCGCGGUAAUACGUAGGGUGCGAGCGUUAAUCGGAAUUACUGGGCGUAAAGCGUGCGCAGGCGGUUUUGUAAGACAGGCGUGAAAUCCCCGAGCUUAACUUGGGAAUGGCGCUUGUGACUGCAAGGCUAGAGUAUGUCAGAGGGGGGUAGAAUUCCACGUGUAGCAGUGAAAUGCGUAGAGAUGUGGAGGAAUACCGAUGGCGAAGGCAGCCCCCUGGGACGUCACUGACGCUCAUGCACGAAAGCGUGGGGAGCAAACAGGAUUAGAUACCCUGGUAGUCCACGCCCUAAACGAUGUCAACUAGUUGUUGGGGAUUCAUUUCUUCAGUAACGUAGCUAACGCGUGAAGUUGACCGCCUGGGGAGUACGGUCGCAAGAUUAAAACUCAAAGGAAUUGACGGGGACCCGCACAAGCGGUGGAUGAUGUGGAUUAAUUCGAUGCAACGCGAAAAACCUUACCUACCCUUGACAUGCCACUAACGAAAGCAGAGAUGCAUUCAGUGCYCGAAAGGCAAGUGCACACAGCUGCCUGCAUGGACUGUCGUCCAGCUCGUGAUCCGUGGAGAAUGCAUGGGAAUUAAAAGUC